GAUGAAGAACGCAGCAAAAUGCGAUAAGUAAUGUGAAUUGCAGAAUUCAGUGAAUCAUCGAAUCUUUGAACGCACAUUGCGCCCGCUGGUAUUCCGGCGGGCAUGCCUGUUCGAGCGUCAUUUCAACCCUCAAGCCCCCGGGUUUGGUGUUGGGGAUCGGCUCUGCCCUUCUGGGCGGUGCCGCCCCCGAAAUACAUUGGCGGUCUCGCUGCAGCCUCCAUUGCGUAGUAGCUAACACCUCGCAACUGGAACGCGGCGCGGCCAUGCCGUAAAACCCCAACUUCUGAAUGUUGACCUCGGAUCAGGUAGGAAUACCCGCUGAACUUAAGAAUAUCAAUAAGCGGAGGA
This 348-nucleotide unclassified non-coding RNA is filed under the name soil metagenome. RNAcentral's name for it is "partial contains 5.8S ribosomal RNA, internal transcribed spacer 2, and large subunit ribosomal RNA". The stretch from base 1 to 120 matches the Rfam family "5.8S ribosomal RNA", at positions 35 to 154 of the family's 154-position model. The record is from RNAcentral.